GACGAACCGUGCAAACGUUGUUCGGAAUCACUGGGCUUAAAGGGCGCGUAGGCGGGUGGUCAAGUCAGGGGUGAAAUCUUUCGGCUCAACCGGAAAAUAGCCUCUGAUACUGACCGUCUUGAGCGAGGUAGGGGCAUGUGGAACUUCCGGUGGAGCGGUGAAAUGCGUUGAUAUCGGAAGGAACGCCGGUGGCGAAAGCGACGUGCUGGACCUCUUCUGACGCUGAUGCGCGAAAGCUAGGGGAGCGAACGGG
Molecule: ribosomal RNA, 253 nt
Filed under: uncultured bacterium
Lineage: Bacteria
Description: partial 16S ribosomal RNA
Rfam family: Bacterial small subunit ribosomal RNA
Source: RNAcentral